This 1781-nucleotide ribosomal RNA is filed under the name Klebsiella pneumoniae. RNAcentral's name for it is "partial 23S ribosomal RNA". It matches the Rfam family "Bacterial large subunit ribosomal RNA", at positions 1177 to 2925 of the family's 2925-position model. The record is from RNAcentral. Lineage: Bacteria; Pseudomonadati; Pseudomonadota; Gammaproteobacteria; Enterobacterales; Enterobacteriaceae.
GGGGCUAAACCAUGCACCGAAGCUGCGGCAGCGACACUAUGUGUUGUUGGGUAGGGGAGCGUUCUGUAAGCCUGCGAAGGUGUGCUGUGAGGCAUGCUGGAGGUAUCAGAAGUGCGAAUGCUGACAUAAGUAACGAUAAAGCGGGUGAAAAGCCCGCUCGCCGGAAGACCAAGGGUUCCUGUCCAACGUUAAUCGGGGCAGGGUGAGUCGACCCCUAAGGCGAGGCCGAAAGGCGUAGUCGAUGGGAAACAGGUUAAUAUUCCUGUACUUGGUGUUACUGCGAAGGGGGGACGGAGAAGGCUAUGUUAGCCGGGCGACGGUUGUCCCGGUUUAAGCAUGUAGGCUGGUUAUCCAGGCAAAUCCGGAUAAUCAAGGCUGAGGUGUGAUGACGAGGCACUACGGUGCUGAAGUAACAAAUGCCCUGCUUCCAGGAAAAGCCUCUAAGCAUCAGGUAACAUCAAAUCGUACCCCAAACCGACACAGGUGGUCAGGUAGAGAAUACCAAGGCGCUUGAGAGAACUCGGGUGAAGGAACUAGGCAAAAUGGUGCCGUAACUUCGGGAGAAGGCACGCUGGUGUGUAGGUGAAGUCCCUGCGGAUGGAGCUGAGACCAGUCGAAGAUACCAGCUGGCUGCAACUGUUUAUUAAAAACACAGCACUGUGCAAACACGAAAGUGGACGUAUACGGUGUGACGCCUGCCCGGUGCCGGAAGGUUAAUUGAUGGGGUUAUCCGUAAGGAGAAGCUCUUGAUCGAAGCCCCGGUAAACGGCGGCCGUAACUAUAACGGUCCUAAGGUAGCGAAAUUCCUUGUCGGGUAAGUUCCGACCUGCACGAAUGGCGUAAUGAUGGCCAGGCUGUCUCCACCCGAGACUCAGUGAAAUUGAACUCGCUGUGAAGAUGCAGUGUACCCGCGGCAAGACGGAAAGACCCCGUGAACCUUUACUAUAGCUUGACACUGAACAUUGAGCCUUGAUGUGUAGGAUAGGUGGGAGGCUUUGAAGCGUGGACGCCAGUCUGCGUGGAGCCAACCUUGAAAUACCACCCUUUAAUGUUUGAUGUUCUAACGUUGGCCCCUGACCGGGGUUGCGGACAGUGUCUGGUGGGUAGUUUGACUGGGGCGGUCUCCUCCCAAAGCGUAACGGAGGAGCACGAAGGUUAGCUAAUCCUGGUCGGACAUCAGGAGGUUAGUGCAAUGGCAUAAGCUAGCUUGACUGCGAGCGUGACGGCGCGAGCAGGUGCGAAAGCAGGUCAUAGUGAUCCGGUGGUUCUGAAUGGAAGGGCCAUCGCUCAACGGAUAAAAGGUACUCCGGGGAUAACAGGCUGAUACCGCCCAAGAGUUCAUAUCGACGGCGGUGUUUGGCACCUCGAUGUCGGCUCAUCACAUCCUGGGGCUGAAGUAGGUCCCAAGGGUAUGGCUGUUCGCCAUUUAAAGUGGUACGCGAGCUGGGUUUAGAACGUCGUGAGACAGUUCGGUCCCUAUCUGCCGUGGGCGCUGGAGAAUUGAGGGGGGCUGCUCCUAGUACGAGAGGACCGGAGUGGACGCAUCACUGGUGUUCGGGUUGUCAUGCCAAUGGCACUGCCCGGUAGCUAAAUGCGGAAGAGAUAAGUGCUGAAAGCAUCUAAGCACGAAACUUGCCCCGAGAUGAGUUCUCCCUGAGACUUUAAGUCUCCUGAAGGAACGUUAAAGACGAUGACGUUGAUAGGCCGGGUGUGUAAGCGCAGCGAUGCGUUGAGCUAACCGGUACUAAUGAACCGUGAGGCUUAACCUUACAACGCCGAAG